UAGGGAAUCUUCCGCAAUGGGCGAAAGCCUGACGGAGCAACGCCGCGUGAGUGAUGAAGGUCUUCGGAUCGUAAAACUCUGUUAUUAGGGAAAAACAAAUGUGUAAGUAACUAUGCCCGUCUUGACGGUACCUAAUCAGAAAGCCACGGCUAACUACGUGCCAGCAGCCGCGGUAAUACGUAGGUGGCAAGCGUUAUCCGGAAUUAUUGGGCGUAAAGCGCGCGUAGGCGGUUUUUUAAGUCUGAUGUGAAAGCCCACGGCUCAACCGUGGAGGGUCAUUGGAGACUGGAAAACUGGAGUGCAGAAGAGGAAAGGGGAAUACCAUGUGUAGCGGUGAAAUGCGCAGAGAUAUGGAGGAACACCAGUGGCGAAGGCGACUUUCUGGUCUGUAACUGACGCUGAUGUGCGAAAGCGUGGGGAUCAAACAGG
This 429-nucleotide ribosomal RNA is filed under the name Actinomycetes bacterium. RNAcentral describes it as "Actinobacteria bacterium partial 16S ribosomal RNA". It matches the Rfam family "Bacterial small subunit ribosomal RNA", at positions 355 to 776 of the family's 1533-position model. The record is from RNAcentral. Lineage: Bacteria; Bacillati; Actinomycetota; Actinomycetes.